This 720-nucleotide ribosomal RNA is filed under the name bacterium enrichment culture. RNAcentral describes it as "bacterial SSU rRNA". It matches the Rfam family "Bacterial small subunit ribosomal RNA", at positions 71 to 804 of the family's 1533-position model. The record is from RNAcentral.
GAUUGAAGCUUGCUUUGAACUGUUUUAGUGGCGGACGGGUGAGUAACGCGUGAGGAACCUGCCUUUCAGAGGGGGAUAACGUCUGGAAACGGACGCUAAUACCGCAUGACAUUUUGUUGCCGCAUGGUGAUAAAAUCAAAGGAGCAAUCCGCUGAGAGAUGGACUCGCGUCCGAUUAGCCGGUUGGCGGGGUAACGGCCCACCAAAGCAACGAUCGGUAGCCGGGCUGAGAGGCUGAACGGCCACAUUGGGACUGAGACACGGCCCAGACUCCUACGGGAGGCAGCAGUGGGGGAUAUUGCACAAUGGAGGAAACUCUGAUGCAGCAACGCCGCGUGAGGGAAGAAGGUUUUCGGAUUGUAAACCUCUGUCCUCAGGGACGAUAAUGACGGUACCUGAGGAGGAAGCUCCGGCUAACUACGUGCCAGCAGCCGCGGUAAUACGUAGGGAGCAAGCGUUGUCCGGAUUUACUGGGUGUAAAGGGUGCGUAGGCGGCACUGCAAGUCAGGUGUGAAAACCAUGGGCUUAACUUAUGGAUUGCACUUGAAACUGUGGUGCUUGAGUGAAGUAGAGGCAGGCGGAAUUCCCGGUGUAGCGGUGAAAUGCGUAGAGAUCGGGAGGAACACCAGUGGCGAAGGCGGCCUGCUGGGCUUUAACUGACGCUGAGGCACGAAAGCAUGGGUAGCAAACAGGAUUAGAUACCCUGGUAGUCCAUGCCGUA